GGUCAGAUAGCUCAGCUGGUAGAGCAUGGCACUGAAAAUGCCAGGGUCGCCGGUUCAAGUCCGGCUCUGACCA
This 73-nucleotide transfer RNA is filed under the name Phycisphaerales bacterium. RNAcentral describes it as "tRNA-Phe". It matches the Rfam family "tRNA". From Rfam's summary of the family: Transfer RNA (tRNA) molecules are approximately 80 nucleotides in length. Their secondary structure includes four short double-helical elements and three loops (D, anti-codon, and T loops). Lineage: Bacteria; Pseudomonadati; Planctomycetota; Phycisphaerae; Phycisphaerales. The record is from RNAcentral.